RNAcentral lists this long non-coding RNA (1795 nucleotides) under Serinus canaria (Common canary). RNAcentral describes it as "lncRNA (ENSSCAG00000001554.1)". The record is from RNAcentral. Lineage: Eukaryota; Metazoa; Chordata; Aves; Passeriformes; Fringillidae.
CUGGAAUUCCCCACCCCCACCCAAAAUCCAUUUUUCUCCAUUUUUUCCUCCCUUUCUCUCCAUUUUUUCCUCCCUUUUUCUCCCUUUUUCUCCAUUUUUCUCUCCAUUUUUUCCUCCAUUUUUCUCCAUUUCUUUUUCCCUUUUUCUCCAUUUUUUUCUCCCUUUUCCUCCAUUUUUUCCUCCCUUUUUCUCCAUUUUUUUUCUCCAUUUUUUUCUCCAUUUUUCUCCAUUUUCUUCUCCAUUUUUUUCUCCAUUUUUUUCUCCAAUUUUUUCUCCAUUUUUUCCUCCAUUUUUCUCCAUUUUUUCUCCAUUUUUUCUCCCUUUUUCUCCAUUUUUUUCUCCCUUUUGCCCCAUUUUUCUCCAUUUUUCUCCAUUUUUUCCUCCCUUUUUUCUCCAUUUUUCCUCUUUUUUCCUCCCUUUUCCCCCAUUUUUUCUCCCUUUUUCUCCAUUUUUCUCUCCAUUUUUUCCUCAAUUUUUCCCCAUUUUUUCCCUUUUUCUCCAUUUUUUCUCCCUUUUUCUCCUUUUCUUCCUCCCUUUUACUCCAUUUUUUCUCCAUUUUUCUCCUUUUUUUUCUCCAUUUUUCUCCAUUUCUUUCUCCAUUUUUUCCUCCACUUUUCUCCAUUUUUUCCUCCACUUUUCUCCAUUUUUUUCCCCAUUUUUCUCCAUUUUUUCUCCAUUUUUUCUCCAUUUUUCUCCAUUUUUUCUCCAUUUUUUCUCCCUUUUUCUCCAUUUUUUUCUCCAUUUUUUCCUCCCCUUUUCUCCAUUUUUUUCUCCAUUUUUUUUCUCCAUUUUCUCCCUUUUUUUCUCAUUUUUUUUCCUCCCUUUUUCUCCCUUUUCCUCCCUUUUUCUCCAUUUUUUCUCCCUUUUCCUCCCUUUUUCUCCAUUUUUUCCUCCAUUUUUUUCUCCAUUUUUUCUCCAUUUCUUCCUCCCUUUUUCUCCAUUUUUCUCCAAUUUUUUCUCCAUUUUUUCUCCAUUUUUUUCUCGAUUUUUUCUCCAUUUCUUCCUCCCUUUUACUCCAUUUUUUUUCUCCAUUUUUCUCCAUUUUUCUCCAAUUUUUUCUCCAUUUUUUCUCCUUUUUUUUCUCCAUUUUUUCCUCCCUUUUUCCCCAUUUUCCUCCAUUUUUUUCCUUUUAUUCUCCAUUUUUCACCCUUUUCCUCCAUUUUUUCUCCAUUUUUUCCUCCCUUUUUCCCCAUUUUUUUCCAUUUUUCUCCAUUUUUUCCUCCCUUUUUCUCCAUUUUUCCUCCCUUUCCCCCAUUUUUUCUCCAUUUUUCUCCCUUUUUUUCCUCCCUUUUCCCCCAUUUUUUCUCCAUUUUUCCCCAUUUUUUCCUCCCUUUUUCUCCCUUUUUCUCCUUUUUUUUUCUCCAUUUUUCUCCAUUUCUUUCUCCAUUUUUUUUCCUCCCUUUUUCUCCAUUUUUUCCUCCCUUUUUCUCUAUUUUUUCCUCCAUUUUUUUCUCCAUUUUUCUCCCUUUUUCUCCAUUUUUUUCCCCAUUUUCCCCCAUUUUUCCCCCUUUUUCUCCAUUUUUUUCCCCAUUUUUCCCCCUUUUUCUCCAUUUUUUUCCCCAUUUUUCCCCAUUUUCCCCAUUUUUCCCUCCAGCCGCGCUAGGAUUCGUGGUAAGAAAUCAAAACCACACCGAACAAGCCCGAACGGCCCCAGAUUUGGGGAGGGAUUUUUAAUUCCUUCCCUCCCGAGGACAGAAAUUCUCUCGCUGCUGCCCGGAAAUAACUUAAACACCCCAAAAACCCCAACCGGGCUCUUUUUGGCUUCUGCUUUUUGUCACGCAUUGCUUUGCCACCU